AUUUUAUGUAAUGUAAUAAUGUAGUAUUAACAUAUGUACGCUUGUCGAUUCAUUAAUAUUUAUCGAGUCUCCAUUAAUCUUAUAAUUCUUCCAAUUGUCAACUGUAAGUUACAGCAGUUAUCAUCUGAUAUUAAAAAUUGAAAAUGCAGAGCAACUUAUGGAAUGACCUGAUAUUACGACGUCUGGUAUCCGCAAUUUCAUCGUUGCAAGAAUCAAGAUACGUUACCGAGGAUAAACAUAGUUUCGCAGUGGAAGGAACGAACAGAACAAGUACAGAAGGAAUCGAACGUCUGAAGCAACAAUAACAGGCGAUGUCGCAUCAGUAGCUAGCAAAGAGGCCGACGAGGCGAU
RNAcentral lists this unclassified non-coding RNA (351 nucleotides) under Bombus terrestris (buff-tailed bumblebee). Its description in RNAcentral is "misc RNA ENSBTSG00005029725.1". Lineage: Eukaryota; Metazoa; Arthropoda; Insecta; Hymenoptera; Apidae. The record is from RNAcentral.